GAUGAACGCUGGCGGCGUGCCUAAUACAUGCAAGUCGAGCGAACAGACGAUGAUCUUGCUCCUCUGACGUUAGCGGCGGACGUGUGAGUAACACGUGGAUAACCUACCUAUAAGACUGGUAUAACUUCGGGAAACCGGCGCUAAUACCGGAUAAUAUAUUGAACCGCAUGGUUCAAUAGUGAAAGACGGUUUUGCUGUCACUUAUAGAUGGAUCCGCGCCGCAUUAGCUAGUUGGGAAGGUAACGGCUUACCAAGGCGACGAUGCGUAGCCGACCUGAGAGGGUGAUAGGCCACACUGGAACUGAGACACGGUCAAGACUACUACGGGAGGCAGCAGUAGGGAAUCUUACGCAAUGGGCGAAAGCAUGACGGAGCAACGCCGAGUGAGUGAUGAAGGUCUUCGGAUCGUAAAAAUCUGUUAUUAGGGAAGAACAAAUGUGUAAGUAAAUAUGCACGUCUUGACGGUACCUAAUCAGAAAGCAACGGCUAACUACGUG
RNAcentral lists this ribosomal RNA (497 nucleotides) under uncultured bacterium. RNAcentral describes it as "partial 16S ribosomal RNA". It matches the Rfam family "Bacterial small subunit ribosomal RNA", at positions 28 to 507 of the family's 1533-position model. The record is from RNAcentral.